Molecule: unclassified non-coding RNA, 2685 nt
Filed under: Stylophora pistillata
Lineage: Eukaryota; Metazoa; Cnidaria; Anthozoa; Scleractinia; Pocilloporidae
Description: uncharacterized LOC111325811, transcript variant X4
Source: RNAcentral
GAUCCCGGCAAUCCAAUAUGGCGAUUUAACAGUAGAUCAAAAUAUUUGGCAUUCGUUCGCUAAAAAUAGGCACCUCCUUCAGUUUAUGCUAUAUAGCUCGGACAGUCACUAGGCAAUACUUAUCGAUCAUCGAGACAUUCUCCGAACUUUUAACGGUUGCCCAAGUCAUUUUACCAUUUGCAAUUUCGCUUUGAGUUUUAAGCAUAACUGCUCACCCAAGAAGUAUCAUUCACAAUCAUUCGCUCGUUUAACUAUCUUGUCGAAUUUCAACAUUUCCAAACUACAGGACAGCUGAGGAGAUCCAAGGUGAUCAAAACGUAAAGAGGAUAUACUCAAACAGUUUCCGAUGGAAGAAAACGCAAGGGGAAAAACUCUUUGCGUGUUUAUCCUUGGAGGACUUUCACGCCAAGAAGGAGCUUGAAAGGAAGAAGGUUGACCAUAUGAAGCUGGCAGAAAAUGUCGUUUGCAGCUUGCCAGUCAGCGACGCCUCGAUGAUGAAAGCUAAAAUAAAGUUAAUGAAUGAAGAUGAAGAGAAUAUCUUGGAGAUUGGAGAGAUGCACGUGGACCUCUUAACAUUUCAGGGCGGCGAAACACGUGCUGGGGAGGAGCACGAGUUUAAAGACAAUGAACCAGUUGAACAAGAUAUAGCAACUUAGGGUACAAUCUGUAUUUUAAGAUGAUCUUAGGUUUAAGGUGGAAGAGAAGGCGACUAGUUUGUAAAGACAUUUUAGCUUUGUUUUAAUGCAAUUAAUUUUCUCUCAACUCUACUAGAGAAUGUCAAAAAAUGGUAAAAUCGUCGAGAUUCAGCGUCACCCAUUCUCAGCUAAUAUGGAAAAUUGAUUUUGAACUUGUAAUUGUCUUUCUCCCAGACAUUUUAACGAGAAGACCGGUUGGUUUGUUUAUAGUGAUUUUUUAUCUUUCUAUUUGUUAUUCCAGCUAAAACUAGGCCGUGGCUGUGACGAGAGGCAGUAGGUUAGGUAAACUUUGAGCGGCAUUGAUCCCUUUGCUUCGUUGCUCGUGUUUUUAAGAUUAAAAUUGAGUAAGGAAGAUGAUUUUGUAGGAAGGCAUUCUAAAAGCUUUUUCUAGAACAUGAACCACCAUUUGAACAAAUUUUAUCAAGCGCUCCAGGAAAGGAAAACGGUGCAGUGUGGACAUUGUUGUGAAACGAAAUAAAAAGGUAUUUUAGUCGGCAGGGCAGAGAGCUACAAAAGAACUAACGAGCUGAUCCAAGAUUCCAAUCAUUUAAGAGAGACUCAUUUUUUCUGAAGGUUUUUGUUGUCGCUGCUAAAUUAUACACUUCGCAGUUGGUAUUUAACCAAAUUAAAGUUGAAGGUGUCACUGGUAUGCAUCCUCAAGAAAUUCUUCCUUUUAUGGCGUUUUAUUCAGUGUUGAGUUGUGAUUAAAUAUCUUUUGAAUGUUUGAACGAGAUAGGAACAACCUUAGAUGUACGAGUCGCUUUGCAAUUGUGUGGGAUACAGCUGUGUAAAGGCUUUUCAAAAAAUACGUUCCUUAUAGCGUAACAGAAAAAGGUACCAUAUUACAAACGUCUUAUAGGAAGACAAAUGCGUAAAUUUACUAAUAUAAUGAUCUAUUAUGCUUUAUUUCUAGAUUUCUUGCUUGAAAGGUAGGGUAUUGUUUUGAAUAUCAAUCGUGUAUUUUGCAGCCAUUUGUUAAUAGGUUUUGAAGAAGAAAUAUAGUUCAAUUGGCAUGAAAAAAAGAAAUUAAAUAAAACACAAAAACACCAGGUGAUGAUUUUUUUAAAGAAAAGCUGCUGUGCCAAGUUAGGAAAUCAGGAUGUAUAUUGUCGUAAAUGGCCAAGCACUUCCAAAAGGUUAAACAUGAAUUUUGAACAUGAACUUUGAACUUUGAACUGAAUAACAAGGAAAUAGAGUGCUUGAGCUCCUCCCCACCCUCAAAAUAAAAAAAAGUUUUGCAAAGAGAAUAAAAAGGCAUGUUUAAACAUUUUGGUCAGAGGAAAAUAACCAUACAACUGCAUGCAUUGCUUUAUGGAUUAAAGAAAAACACGAGCGUUUUGGUGUCAGGAUAAUUUUGAGUUUUUCUUUUUUUUAAUGCAAAUGCCUUGAGUGGAGCAUGAGUAAAACUCGAAGUUCUCCCUUAUACUCGUUAGGCUGCGAAGCCCGGCAUAAAUUAGGUUACUAAUCUAGUCCCUGUAAAGGAUUGAAUUUGAUCCCAAAUGCAUGUGUGACAUUGUGGAAUAAAUGUUAUUUGAAACAGUGGAUGAUGACGAAUUGAUCAUCGCCGGUAAAUUAGCUGUAUUUCGGUGCCACCACAGAUACCGACGCCUGAAAGAAAUUAGGCGAGCUGUGCUUGAACGCUGCGUAAUUCUACUAACUUAGCCUCCAAGCAGCAUGGUAGGGGAAAACAAGGAAAACAAAAAACAAAAAACAAAAACAAAAAAACAAAAACAAACAAAAAACAAAACAAAACAAAAAACAAAACAAACAAAACAAAACAAAACAAAACAAAAAAAAAACAAAACCAAUAAAAAAGACCACAACUAUGUUACUCGAAUCGAUCUAGUUUGACAAAAGCUUUUAGACGAAUUUUUGUGUUGAGUGUGAUUAAACAUAUUGUUGAAAAUGUGAAUCGGCACUAGCACAUAAAAUACUCUCAAUGGACCAUGCUAGUUGAGAAUGGGUGUUAGCAAUGAUAACAUAGGUUAAA